GUGCUCACUUCAGCAGCACGUAUUCUAAAAUUGGAUCUAUACAGAGAAGAUUAACACAGUCUCUGGGCAGAGAAGACAGGCAAAUUUGUGAAGGGCUCCAUAUUUUU
Perognathus longimembris pacificus (Pacific pocket mouse) is the source of this 107-nucleotide small nuclear RNA. The record is from RefSeq and is a predicted model, not a curated record. NCBI's taxonomy places the organism in Eukaryota, Metazoa, Chordata, Mammalia, Rodentia, Heteromyidae.